AUUUAAAUAGUUUAAUAAAAAAAUUUUGAUUUGUGGAAUCAAAGAUAUAAAACUAUUAUUUUAAGUA
RNAcentral lists this transfer RNA (67 nucleotides) under Pseudolycoriella sp. XQM-2020. Its description in RNAcentral is "tRNA-His". Lineage: Eukaryota; Metazoa; Arthropoda; Insecta; Diptera; Sciaridae. The record is from RNAcentral.